GAUUAACGCUAGCGGCAGGCCUAAUACAUGCAAGUCGAACGGCAGCACGGGUAGCAAUACCUGGUGGCGAGUGGCGCACGGGUGAGUAACACGUAUGCAAUCUACCCUUAACUGGGAGUAACCUUCGAAGAAGGCGUAAUACCGCAUAACACUUCGAGAAGGCAUCUUCAUGAAGUUAAACCUACCGGGAGUUAAAGAAUGAGCAUGCGCUCGAUUAGUUAGUUGGUGAGGUAAUGGCUCACCAAGACUUCGAUCGA
RNAcentral lists this ribosomal RNA (257 nucleotides) under uncultured bacterium. RNAcentral's name for it is "partial 16S ribosomal RNA". It matches the Rfam family "Bacterial small subunit ribosomal RNA", at positions 28 to 283 of the family's 1533-position model. The record is from RNAcentral.